CCCGCCAGGUCCCAGCAGCAACUACAAGGGCCUGAGUUGAGUCCCUCUGGGGGCCCUUUUCUAUGAGUUUCCAGGGAAACCGGGCUGAAACCUCUGCAGUGCCCUUGGCAGAGGGCUCUUCUGCCCUUGCCAGCAGUCAGCAGCUCCUGGGAACAAGGAACCACAAAAGCAGCAGACAGAAAAGACACAUGACAGCCUUAAACCUAUCUGCAGGCACGGAGAUGUACGACUGGCAUGUCAGGACGGCGAUCAGCAGCUCCGUUCAAAGUAUUAGUUAUUGAGUCUGGUGAGGCCCAGGAGGCUUAGUCAUGCCACGGCUUAGUCAGAUCUGCAUCGCUUCGGCCUAUCCCAGGCCCACAGGGAUUAGGAUCACUAUGUGGGGCAGUUUUGAGCAACCCGCGGCCAUCAGGCAGCCUGCAGAACCGUCUGUCUCGAUCACAGUCUCCGUCCCGAACCUGUACAUCCAGCCCAGCACCGCUGUGCCAAGGAGCACUCGGUGAGUGCUCGGGGACACAGGUCUGGUCCCGUUUUUGCACAUAGCCACAGAGCGUCAACAGCUAAGGAUGGAAAAAUGUCAACUAAAAUGAGAAAACACAGUGUACGGCAUGGUAGGCUACGACAGUACCGAAGUGUUCUGGCUGGUACCAAAUGAGACCUUGCUGCCCAGCCCCAGCCUGCCAUCCCUAGUCUGCCCUUAGUCUGACGGAGCAAGCUCUUUCCUUUAUGGCCUUCCUGCGUCCUUGUCAGCUGGCCUUCUGCAAACAGCUGCUGGAUGAGCACCACCUUGGUUAUCAAGCCAUUUGGGCUGUCACAGAUUACUUGCUACUAUGCUUGCAGAAUUACAGUAAGGUAACAUGGGGUGAGUGGUUGGAGCCUUUAUCAGGAAGAGCCGCAUUGCUCUCUGGCCUGACUUUCUUCACUGAAGGCAAGACAAGAGUAUUGGAGUCCAUAAUCCUUUUUGCCAGAGUUAAAUGGGCGACAGACAGUGGAGUAGUGACUACACAGGAAUGAGCAGAAAACAGCCACAGGGAGAACAGAAGACCUCAUAAAAGGCGAGUCACAGGCUAUUAGUAAAAUCUUGGAGCGUACAGAACAUUUCUCAACAGCCACUGAAGAACAGAUCCAGUCUGAACUUUUCUUCAUGCUGGCUAGCUUGCACGCAUAGCAUAUCACACCUGGGCUGAACUCGACUUUCAAGACUGUAAUUAAUCAGUGAAAACAGGCAACGACUGUGGAUGUAUAAUUUCUCUGGGGAACUGUGAAGAAAGGAGGUCAUGAUGCUCUGGUUGUUCUACCCACUCUCAGCAGUUCUGAUACAUCUGUACCACAAUGGUCUAGGCCAAAAGCCUUUUCUCCUCCCACAAGACAGGCACUACAUUUGCAUUUCAGUAUAAAAUUUGGAGCAUUUAUUCAUCACAAGGAAAAUAAAUGCCUGUUUACAUCUGAGGAACGAUGAGUU
Molecule: long non-coding RNA, 1459 nt
Filed under: Struthio camelus australis
Lineage: Eukaryota; Metazoa; Chordata; Aves; Struthioniformes; Struthionidae
Description: lncRNA (ENSSCUG00000015938.1)
Source: RNAcentral